RNAcentral lists this transfer RNA (71 nucleotides) under Marmota monax (woodchuck). RNAcentral's name for it is "tRNA.Ala". It matches the Rfam family "tRNA". From Rfam's summary of the family: Transfer RNA (tRNA) molecules are approximately 80 nucleotides in length. Their secondary structure includes four short double-helical elements and three loops (D, anti-codon, and T loops). Further hydrogen bonds mediate the characteristic L-shaped molecular structure. tRNAs have two regions of fundamental functional importance: the anti-codon, which is responsible for specific mRNA codon recognition, and the 3' end, to which the tRNAs corresponding amino acid is attached (by aminoacyl-tRNA synthetases). tRNAs cope with the degeneracy of the genetic code in two manners: having more than one tRNA (with a specific anti-codon) for a particular amino acid; and 'wobble' base-pairing, i.e. permitting non-standard base-pairing at the 3rd anti-codon position. The record is from RNAcentral. Lineage: Eukaryota; Metazoa; Chordata; Mammalia; Rodentia; Sciuridae.
GGGGUUGUAGCUCAGCGGUAGAGCACUCACCUAGCAUGUGUGAGGCCCUGGGUUCGAUCCUCAGCACCACA